This 253-nucleotide unclassified non-coding RNA is filed under the name uncultured Gemmatimonadota bacterium. RNAcentral describes it as "uncultured Gemmatimonadetes bacterium contains 16S-23S intergenic spacer region". It matches the Rfam family "Bacterial small subunit ribosomal RNA", at positions 524 to 776 of the family's 1533-position model. Lineage: Bacteria; Pseudomonadati; Gemmatimonadota. The record is from RNAcentral.
UACGUAGGGGGCAAGCGUUACCCGGAAUUAUUGGGCGUAAAGCGCACGUAGGCGGCUCGAAAAGUCUCUUGUGAAAGCCCGGGGCUCAACCCCGGGAGGCCAGGGGAUACUAUCGGGCUGGAGACAGGCAGAGGCUGGUGGAAUUCCGGGUGUAGCGGUGGAAUGCGUAGAGAUCCGGAGGAACACCGGAGGCGAAGGCGGCCAGCUGGGCCUGAUCUGACGCUGAGGUGCGAAGGCGUGGGGAGCGAACAGG